AAUUCUCAACCCCUCUCGAUUUGCUUCGAAAGGGUGCUUGGAUAGUGGGGGCUGCCGGAGAUCUGGACUUCUCGUCUAGGACUCGGGCUCCCCUGAAAUGAAUGGGCUUGCGGUCGACUUUCGACUAUGCAUGACAAGGCUUUUGGCGUGAUAAUGAUCGCCGCUCGCCGAAGUGCAUGAAUGAACGGUCCCGUGCCUCUAAUGCGUCGAUGCCUUCUGGCGUCUUCCUUAUUGAC
This 236-nucleotide unclassified non-coding RNA is filed under the name uncultured Suillus. Its description in RNAcentral is "sequence contains ITS2". Lineage: Eukaryota; Fungi; Basidiomycota; Agaricomycetes; Boletales; Suillaceae. The record is from RNAcentral.